AUAGGGAGUCAUUAUAUAGAAC
RNAcentral lists this non-coding RNA (22 nucleotides) under Rattus norvegicus (Norway rat). Lineage: Eukaryota; Metazoa; Chordata; Mammalia; Rodentia; Muridae. The record is from RNAcentral.